UCACAGAAGGGAGCAUUCUAGUCCCAUGGUUCUUGAUUUACAUAGUGUCAACAGAUUUAUACUGAACUUGUACCUAUCUGUCAUUUCUACUGACAAAAUCAUAAUUCAACUUUGGUUUGGUAGAGGAUUAAACUUAAAUUCGUUAUACUAGCUGUUGUUUGAUGGCCCUCCUUUUUCCAUUUCAAAAAUUAUUUAGCAAUGAAAAUCAACAUGUAUGUAGAGUCUAUCAGAUGACAUACUGCUUGAUGGCGUCCUUCUAGUGAUGCAGACAUGUAGGAAUGGACCUUUCUUAAUUCUACAGCUAGCUUCUCUUGAGCAUUCCAGCUCAACAUUCUACUGUAUUAAAGGGUUAUCCUGUUCUUCUAUCCACACAAAUUUACUUCCCUACGUAAGUUGCCUAGAAAACUUAGUAUAGAACCUGCCAUUGGCAGGCAAAGUCUUUGUUUGCAGUGAGUGAAAUAUUAAUCUUAGUUAAUAAGUGAAGGAAUAGGGUAAACAUGUUGUAUACAUGUUUGAUUGUUUGAAGUUAUCAUUCUACCCUUAAAUCACCAACUGAUAUGGUUAUAAUUCACAGAUGAUCAGAUUGCCCAUCUUAAUAGUGAGAUGAAGCAUUCAGGAAGGCAUGCUAGAUUUCCUUAUUCUCAUUGUGAUCAUGUUGAAAAUUGUUGUACUACACAUAGUUGGCAAUAUUAUUGAGGACACUACACUGCUUCCCUCCUAUUGAUGUUUUGUCCUCUCGGACCUUAAAUCCCACACUUUCAUGUAAAGUUAUAUUAUGUUACCCCAAUAAGUUUGCUUUUGUAACUGAUUGAAGCUCAUUCUCAGUGGCAAACAUAUUCACCAGUCACCACUGAUGGGAAUAAGCACGUCAGAUCAAAAUUGUUGCUGUGAUUUCUCAGUAUAUAUUAGUGCUCAUAUUUUACUUCUAAAGUGGUUCUGUUGUUGUUCUGCAGAAGUGAUACACAACAUCUCUGCUUUUUCUAAACCAGAUAAUUCGUCCCUUCUCCCAAAUGGAUAUUGAUGAAAUCAGGUUGUAAGAUUACUACACAAGUAGUGUUCCCGAAAGAAUACAAGUUUUCAUCCACGUCAGGUGUUCAUUUUGUAGAUACAUUAUUUUAUUCUUUGAGUUAACUCAUCCUAUCUUUGUUCUUAGUUGAUCUCCACUAAGGUCACUCUCAAUCCUGUGACUCCUAGUCUCAUACAAGUUGUUCAAGGCUGACAAUAGUUGUAGAUGAGUGCAGAUAAUGAUCAUUUCUGAAGCAAACUGAUAUGAUAAGGACUAUUUCCUGUGGUCUCACAUGAGUGCAUGAACAAUGGAAAUGAAAGUUCAGUUGCAAAGUGGCCCUUCAUUGUUGUCAAACUCACAUUAAUACAGAUAAAGCUUCAUGGUGGAAGCACUUGUGCCACUACCCAGACAUACUAGCAGGGGCACUUUCUGCUGUCAAUCUCUGCCCGAUUGUAUUGCUGUCAAAAUAAUUAGUGCAUGACAGGGCCUCGGUAAAAUCCUGUUUGUUGGGAAAGAUGGCACACCCAAAACUGUUGGCUGGCAAGCCUUUUCCAGGUUACUAGAUUUGCAAAAAGGUUCUGGCUGCUUGCCUUCUGCGUCCACCGACCACGGAGGCACACGCCCUGAGUGGUGGGCCAACCGUUCUUCCUUUCCCAAUUUGGGGUCACCACUCACUCUUCUAUGAUUCCUAGGUCCCACCCCCACCAUGAGCAAUCUUGCAAUGCGUCCAUAUUUCAAACGGGCCACAAUGAGGUGGUGUACAUAGCAGUCUUAGAAAUACUGGCACGGCUGCUUGGAGUACAGGGUUCAACUACUAGUCUCUAGUGGAAAGGUAUAACAGAGCAUUAUUCAGUUCAAAAUGCCUGGGCAGUCACCUAGGUUGCACCUUCAACCUGUGCGUUUCGUUGGAUGUCAAUUGUCAAGCUUAAUCAUAGCUUCCAUUUCCUGACUCGAUGGUUUGGUUUCCCCACUCUUCAGUGCUGUUUAUCCACUUUGCUUUCGCGUAAUGAACUCUUCUUCCAUUUCAGGAGCCCUAACACUAGUGUUGUAUAUACUCUUACUGGAAGCAACCAAGCUGGGAAUCCUUGGAUUAUUCCUAAUCUACCUGGACGGCUGGACCAAUUACAUGCGAGUGCUCCUAUUUCAAGUCGUCCCUAUUCCUCCAGACAGGCCAGAUACCCGUAGAACUUUUAUUUGAUGCUGGUGAUUGAAUACUACUUUA
This is a long non-coding RNA of Panicum hallii, 2228 nucleotides long. RefSeq lists it as uncharacterized. NCBI's taxonomy places the organism in Eukaryota, Viridiplantae, Streptophyta, Magnoliopsida, Poales, Poaceae. The transcript has 3 exons. The record is from RefSeq and is a predicted model, not a curated record.